UACGUAGGGGGCAAGCGUUGUCCGGAAUCAUUGGGCGUAAAGCGCGUGUAGGCGGCUCGGUAAGUCCGCUCUGAAAGUCCAGGGCUCAACCCUGGGAUGCGGGUGGAUACUGCCGGGCUCGAGUCCGGAAGAGGCGAGUGGAAUUCCCGGUGUAGCGGUGAAAUGCGCAGAUAUCGGGAGGAACACCAAUGGCGAAGGCAGCUCGCUGGGACGUGACUGAUGCUGAGACGCGAAAGCGUGGGGAGCAAACAGG
Molecule: ribosomal RNA, 253 nt
Filed under: uncultured bacterium
Lineage: Bacteria
Description: partial 16S ribosomal RNA
Rfam family: Bacterial small subunit ribosomal RNA
Source: RNAcentral